AAAGGUGCAUGACAACUCUGAGCAAGUCAAAACAACCGUCAGCAGCGGGAAACCUCGAUGAACAAACACCGGGAGAGUGUUUCUGCAGAUCCUGCUUUGUGACUUCGAGUGAAGUGUGGAAGCGCUGGAAGCACUUAGACCCUGCCUGUGCCGCAGACCCCUGGGAGGCACCAACACCCCGGAUCGAGAAGCCCGAUGGGAAAGAAUGUCUGGGAAGGACGUCAUGCCCGAGGCUUGCGUGACAGUUUCCACUCACAGUGCGCUCACUCUGAACCUCUGUGCACACGAUGGGCCUGCAUCUCUUCCCACUAUCUGCUAGGAAACACGAGGGGAAGGAAAUGACCGCAGAAGGGAGUGCACCGUGGGGGCAGGAGGUGCUGCGGCCAAUGGGCAGUGCUGGGAGAUGAAACCAACAGCGGCGAUUGCCCCAGAAAGAACUUGGCGCUGCUAAGGCAAUGGCGGCCCGAAAGAGGCCCCUGACGCAUGAGGAGCGGCCGCCGUCUCCAGCCCCAGGCCUCCCUCCCCUGUGUUUCCCGCAGCCCCCUCUGGAGUCUCUCCCCCGCCCCGCACGUGUAGGGAGACCCCGGGAAAGUGGGCCGGUUAUAAUUGCAAAAAAUAAACCGUCAGUAGCCACAAUAUCUUAUAAACGUAAAAGUAAUCUGAAAACCUACUUCAGUUAGAGAAAGGGCGUUUGAAUAUUUCCUGUUUAAGACACAGACCCCCUGAGAAGAUGUAUAAAGGACUUGGGCUGGGUGUGGUGGCUCACACUGCCCACACCAUGACCUUGGACCCCCGGCCUCCGGAACUGAGAGGCGCCGAACGCCUGCUGUUCAAGCUGCACCGUGAUGGGCACUUGGUUCUGUCUGCCCCAGGAAAAUGAGCCCAGCGCUCUCCCCAAACUCCUUUGUCCUGAACUUCUUUCCAGAGCCCUCAGCCCUAAUGGGUGGUCCCCUAGGGUCCUCAGCCUUCAGACUCUAAAUUCCCGUUGGAAACCCACAGGCAGUAGGGCCACGCCCAGGCACUCAGCCGCUGUGCUGCUCCCACGGGGGGCCCAGCAAACAGCCAGAGGCAGGCCCGGGGAGAGUUCCAGGGGGCUGGGAGACAGGUGGGAAACCUGCCACUGGCGGAGCGGUUGGUGGAGGGGUUGGAGGAGGGGCCGACAGGGAAACACGGUCCACGCCUCUGUCUGGGGGCUGUCACCUCCAGGGCUUUGAGCCUCACCAGCGUUCCGCCGCAUGGCUUGGAAGGUGUUGCUUUUCCUCCAGGGAGCUCAGGCCUCCGCAACAUGAGGACACUGCGACCCGGAAGCACUCUGUGCCGUCUGAGCUGCCCGCGAUCCAGUCCCUAAGAGGGACCAUCGGCAGGCGGCUUCCUGGCUCUUGGGGUCCGCACAGGCCUGUGGUAGCCCUGAGGAGGCCAUGAGAACCGUCAAGAAGUUCAUGGACUCAGGAGGACGUCGUGAGCAGUGCUGAGGUCAUGGAAUGUGGGCUGGGACCUUGUGUUUGGUGACAUCCUGUAAGUACUCGGCUCGCUCAAGCUAACUGCCCGGCUGGGAUCACCGCUCUAGGAGGACUCAAGAGUUCAGAUGAGUGGCCCAGGGGCCCGUCAGUGCUGUGCACCUCUCCCCCCAUGGGUGGGGGAGGAGCCUGGGGACUUGGCCAGUCCUGGAGGAGCCCUGAGACCAGGCCCUGUGGUGGGCACCACGGCACGGGGAGGUGCCUGGAGGGCUGGAGCCCACUUGGGGGGCCAUGGUCAGUCAGGGCUGCAGAAGCAGAGAAAUGCGGGAUGCCCAUGCUGGCUGGGACUCGCCCACUGCCCUGCACAUGGCGAGUGAGGGAGAGAGGCAAGGCACCUUUCCAGGGGUGCAUGGGAGGCUGCGGUCAAAGGUCCUGCACACCCGCAUGCGUGCUCACAUCUGUAGCUGCAGACACUGACCCCCAGAGACCCCCGAGCUCAUGUGGGGCUGGUGUAGGCGUGGGGUGGACGCUGGGGCAGUGUGGGCUCCUCCUCCUCCUCCAUGCGCGUGACGGGGUGGGGGUGGCCCCUCCCCUUGCCCUGGGAGCUCCGGCCCCCUCCCCACCCUCCCUGUGGCCCCAGUAGACAGAGCCCUGGCCCCUGCCUCGGGCCAGGUUUGGCAGAGGGGGCCCUGGCUGGAAACUGGAGGCAGAUGGAGGGGAGCUGGGGUUGCGGGCUGGCCGUGUCCCCUAACCCCUACACAGCCCAGCUCUGCUCCUGCUCCGCCUGGGUGUUCUGCAGGCUGGGGUGGAGGUGCUCCAGGACUGCCCCACAGCCCAGGGCCACACACCCCUGGAGCGAUCCCUAUCUCUGUCUGCGCCCUGGCCUCCUUCCUGCCAAGACCCUGACUGAGUCAGUAGGCUUGACUUUCAUAAACUGGCCAACAAGAUUGAGACCACACUUGGAGUGGAAGAUGGGGCCGUCUUAAGCCCUUGCCCCCUGCACGGGUCAGCCUGUGGCCAACGUCCUGGGCCGAGCCUCCUCCUCUUGCUCCACGCUCUUCCCACCCUGAGAGGGGCCUGGUCUGGGUGGGUCUCCUGGGACCCCCAGUGUUCGAACAUGACCUGAAAAGCAGAAAUGGAGGCUGAAGCCUUGGCAAGGAGGCCAGCACUUCCCAAUCUCACCUUCCACAGCUGAUGUGCAGGGCCGGGGGAGUGUUGGUAAUCCUCCCAGGACACACGUCUGCAUUUAAGGGUGUGCCUGACAUGAAAGGAAAUUUAUUCAAUGAUCUUUGCUAAAGACCGGAAGGGGACUACUCAGGACCAGUGCGGUGGGUGCUGGGACCAGGGCAGUGGGAUUUUGCAGUGGUGGAGAGAGAUUUAGGCUCCACUCUGAAUAUGGCUCCAGCGAGUGGGAUUUGAUAGCCCAGGAGCAGAGUGGGGUCCUCGGAUGGAACAUCACUAAGAACAAACAGCAGGGGUGGGAGGGUUCUGGCUGAAGGGAGGCGGGGUCAUCCGUCAUCACCUGGGUGCCGGAGGACGAGCAUGCUGCCCUGACGAGGAUGAUCAGAUACGGGGCGGGGCAGUUCUGGCUGAAGUCACUUAGCAGUGUUCUUGCUAAAACCGGAUUUUGCAAGGAAGUGUGCAGGUGGCCUAGAAGGCUCAAGGGCCUGAUAGAGUUUGGCCAAGCAAAGAAUCUCGUCACUGAGAAUUAGAAUCAAGGGCAGGUGGCUAAAUAGUGCCUUGUGGAUUCUCUCCGGCUUUUGCGGCCCCUCCCUCCACAUCCUGCUCUGGGUAGCCCCUAUCCUGCAGCCAUGACCCAGAUUCCUGAAGAGGGGAUGACUAUACAGGGGCCUGGAUGCUGGGUGCCGGCCUCAGGGGCGGGAGGCACCGGGAGAGGCCUGGCCGGAGAGCCGCCGGGACCCAGGUCAGGUCAGGACCCAGUGUGUAGCGGAGCUUGGGCUCAUGAGGUCAGAGCUGGAGCCACUGCACAUCGUCUCCCAGGGCCGGGGCUCCCAGAGGACAUGCAGUGUCUGCAGUUUUCUGGGGUGCCCCCGUCCUCUGCAUGGCACUCUGCGUGUUGGGGGCCUAUUGCGAGCUGCUCAUCCUGGCUUCUUGGGAGCAGUGUGGCCUAAGCAAGGGAGGCUGCCCAGGACCGGCACCUGUGGGGCGGGGCUGGUCGCAGGGUCUCGGUCCCUGAGGGCUGAUUCCUGCUGAAUGCUUCAAUGGCCAAGGGUGGAUCCCUCUCCUUCCAGCCUGAGGCUGUUUCAGGAAGAAACAGUCAGGCCUCGGCAGGUUUCCCUGCCCAAGGGGAGAGUCUGAGGAGGGGCUGACUCGGCAGGUGGAGCAGGGGGCCACUUUCAUCGAGUUUGUGUUCAGAACUCACUCCAGGGUCCUUUUCUUUUGGGGCCAGGCAGGCAGCACCAUGUGGGACAUUAUUAGCAAGGAGAGGAGGGGCCCAGGAGAGCUCACAGGGCGUUUUGGGAGCUCCGUAGAUAGGCAGGUCCUGAGGACUUUUGGAAAGGAUAGAACAAGGUCCCGGGCAGCUUUGUGGUGGUUGAGAGCGAGGGAGGAGGUGGCCUCCCUGAGCGUGGAUGGCUGGAUGCAUGCCCCAGACCCAGGGGCAGAGGCUGAGAAGGGAAGUCGGGGGCCCAGGGACCACACUUGGCAGGGUGGAGGGGGCAGGGGGAGCCACUUGCUGGGGAAACUUCACCGGAUGAUCUGGGCUGAGGACGCGCGAGUGUGGAAGAAAUGGUACCUCCCCCAUGCCAGAUGCUGCCCACCACCGGCACAGGGUCAGAGUUGGGGUCAGCGGGGCAGCCGUGUGCCCCCAGUGGGAGCUUGGAGGUCACGGAGGAAAUGCGAGACCAGAUGCAGGCAGGGGAGUCCUCCGGAGCCUGCAGGAGGGGGCCGCUGGCUCAGGGGCACCGGGAGACCCCCACAUGGACAGGGUGGAAAGGGCUUUCUUCAAAGCCAGGAUCUUGUCUCCAUCACAGCGUCCCAGCAACGCAUUGGGAGUGCUUGCUGCCAGGAGGCUCCCCGGUCCCGCAGCAGCCCCUCAGCGGCUGCCCUCCAAGGAAGGGGCGCACAGACACUCCAAGGCUCCACAGCGCGUGGGCCAGGGGCCGGAUCUACCCCUGGGGCAGUGGGACUGAGCGUGAGCCCAGCGCAGCCCCUCUGACUGCGUCAUUGUUAGGGGCCUUCUCGGAGCUAGCAGACCUAGAACCAGGCCUAGGGGGUGGGGGCGUGCCUGGAUGUGCACUGGGGGGGUGUCUGAACCCUUAGUUAGGACUGCGGGCCCUCCUUUCCACUUCCUUCAGUUCCUGGGGUCUGGGGCAUCCUAGCCAUGCGUGGGGCCUCCCUGCUGGGAUUGGAGACCCCCUGACAGCUGGGGCUGGUCCCAGCAUCUUCGCUCUUCCCCCAGGAGGACUUGGACGCAGGGUCUUCUCUGCUCCCCGUCACACAGAGGGUGGCACACCCGAUGGGAACUCUCAUUUAUCACCAAACCAAAAGAUGGAGAAACUGACAGAGAAGGGCUGCAAGCAGCUACGGCAGGGCGGUGUGUGGAAGCAGAUGGGAUGGGCAGAUGGAGGCGGGGGCCAGCAUCGCUGCCUUCUUGCCCCUCCCAGAGGACCCCAGGUCCCCAGCUCGGGCGCCCCACCCAGACUGGUAACGCCUGCGUCUGCUGUUUGGCACCGGGAGAUGAAUCACUUGCUUUUCAAAUUAGAAUCUUCCUUGCUGUCAGAAAUGUUUCUUCUCUACAAGGAAAUGGAGGUGAAAUUUUUAUAUGGGAAGGGUAGCUCCCUUGGCGAAUUGCAGGGCAGCGGAGGGCGGGUUCGGGGAGCCGAGUGCAGCCCGAGGUGCAGCUUUCAGGCUGGGAGGAAGCAGCUGCUUCCGGCUCCUCGGGACACGAGACGGGGACAGCGUGUGCUCGGCGGGUGGGAGUGACGCUGCCCACCUGCGGGCGUCUCCUGGGGAACGGGGUAUGUGGGCUGUGUGGCGGUACGGAGCCCAGCGCUGAUAGGAGGCUGCGCUGUCAGGCUGCAUUUGACCAUUUAUGGAACCAGGCCAUGAGGAGGCCCUGAAUUAGAAAGGCAUCCAGACCCAGGCUGCAGCCUCAGGCCGGGCACUGUCCCCUGCAUGGCUCCGGCGUCCCAGCUUGGUGUUAUCAGAACACAGAGGUUGAGGCUAUGGCUCCAUCUGGGCUGUUAGCACAGAGAAAAAAUGCCCAAAUGACUUGGUAAAGGGCGGGCUUCCUGGCCCCAUGGCUGCACGGGUGGGCUGGCUUCCUGUGUUUGCUGAGAUUUCUUUGAGGCAGCCCCACGGUAGAGUCCACUCUGGGUCCCGGCCCUGCGCUGGGCGCUGUGCUGAGCGCCUCUGUGGCUGCCAUCAUCUGAUUUUCAGCGCACUCACAGGCAGGCGCCAGGCUUCACUUUAAAGAUGGGGAAGCUGAGUCUCAGGGAAGUGGGGUCUGUGCCAGGGUCUUAGCAGGACUUCUGGGGUUGCUAGGACCCCCACGGGGCUGGGCUGGGGGUCUUCAUGCCAGGCCCAAUCCCUUUCCCAUAGUUCCCCCCGCCGGCACUACCCAACAUGUGGUCUCCGGUCAUCUCGUGCUGUCUCCACCCCUCCCUCCGCUUCUCUGCUGGAGUUGUCCCUGUCACCUUACCCCAGAGCCUUCUUUGUUCUUACAGUCCCAGGCGGAGGGUACCUCGGAGCACACUCUGCAGCCUCCGGCUCUCCCUCCUAAGUCCACCUGCCCGGCCGAUUGGGCUGUGUGGUCACUGUCCUCAAGACCUUAUGUGCCAUGAGGGCUCAGAGCCCUGAGCCUCAGCACAGGAAGUGCCACCCAGGCAGCCAACACCUGCUCAGCGGGCGGAUGGCCUUGCCGACUCGGCUUUGCUCCCGGGAGCCUCCUGGAGAAGAAGCCACAGGGAGACGGACAGCCCUGGGCGGCUCCAGCUUGCCAGCUCCACAUCCAAGGUCCUCCUUCUGGGGUGGGGUUACAAUCUGUUCAAAGCAUAUGCCCAGAAUAACAUUUUUGAAAGUCUUUAAAAAUGGGGUAAAGCUGACGUACCACGAAAGACACAAAUCUUAUCUCGUGCUCAGGUCUUUGCGUGUCUGCGCCCGUGUAACCGCCGUGCGUGUCAGUGAGUCCCUCCAAGAGCACGCCAGAACCACAGAGAACCCCUGGUCCCCCCCAGGGACUCCCCCGAGUCAUGACCCCCAGAGGUGACCUCUCCUGUGAUCUCUGACUUCCCAGCCUGUGGGGGUCUUGGGGACUGUGUUCUCCCUGCUGUUAGAGUACACAGGCCCUUUCUUUUCAUGGCUGUGCAGGGAGGGAGCGGGAGACACCACGGGUUGUUCCUUCUGCCGAGGGACACUGGUGACUUCAGGUUGUCUUUCUAUGGCUUUCGUGCUGGCUCUGGUGGGACCUGCGCUCAGCAGCAGACACUGGCCCUGGGGGUUGUGUGAAGCUUUGCUGCUAUUCCCCACAGGGUGGGGGGGGGCCAGUUACCCUCCCCCAUAGCUGUGGGGACUCCCGGGACCCUUGUCGUCAGCCUUUGCCAUCUCAGCUCACCUGGCGGGGGUAGAAUAACGUUUUGCAGGAAAGUUACAGACUUCCUGUCAGCUCAACUCUGCAGAAGAGGAGUUUGGUGGGAAGUUUUUCCAGAGUCUUCCCUCGGCCUGGGGCACAAUGUCACUGAAAUGCUGGAGCAAUCAGGGGCCAGCCCUCAAAUGGAGUCCUCGCCUCCCCACCGAAAGGCCAGGCCCGUUCAGAGAAGACCCCGUGGACAUGUGGGGCGUGCAGGCUAGGCGGGGUGGGGCUGAGUGGCCAGGUGUCAGGCAGGGCCUUUGGGAACAGAAGGUGGGUCCCUAGGGAAGUGGCGGUCACCGUCAGCCUGGCGAGCAGUGGCCCUUGUGGAAAGGGGGCUUCGGACGUGCUCGGGAGAUGCAGAACCCCGUCUGUGGGAGAGCUCCUGAGAGUUAGGGGCCAGGCUCAGCUCCCAAGGCUGCCCUGACAGAGGCCACACGCUGGGGAGCUAAGAUGCUGAGCCUCUCACAGCUCUAGAGACUGGAAUUGGGGAUCAGGGCAUCCUCAGGCCCCUGCCCACUCUGGAGGCCCGAGGAGAGGGUCCUCCCUGCCUCUUCCAGCUCCUGGUGACCCCGGGCGUCCCUCUGCGUGCAGCUGUGUGGCUCCAGUCUCUGCCUCCAUUGAAACGUGGCUGUCCUCCCUGCAUCUGUGGGGCUGACUUCCCUCUUCUUACAAGGAUGCCGUCAUUGGAUGAGGGCCCACCAUACUCCAGUGUGAGCUCACCCUAACUUGAUUACAUCAGCAAAGACCCUAUUUCCAAAUAAGGUCACAUUCUGAGGUUCUGAGUUGACAUGAGUUUUUAGGGGGGCCUGCUCAGCCCAGGACAGUAUGUGGUUUAAGAAAGGGAUUUCCCCAGAAUGAUCUGCCUGCCGUCUGCAUCCAGCCGCAGACCCUGGUUCCUGCCGUCUGGUCAGGGCUGGCCCUGGGUGAGCUGGAACCCUCUGUCCCUGCACCCCCAGCACUCCCACCCAAAAUGAACUUUGGGGACAGACAUCACAGCUUAGGGCACCCGUGGGGUCUUCAGAGGCUGAGCUGGUACCCAGCUCGUUUCCUCCCUCACAGAUGCAGCCAGGCAGUGAGCAGCCGACGGGUGCCUCAGUGUCCCAUGCAGCACAGCCACGCAGAGCAGGCGAGGGCCAGCCCCCAGGAAGCCGCUUGUGCCUGCCCGCAGUGGGACAAACCUCGGCACUGAGUGUGUCCACAGAUGCCAACGCCCCUCAGACGGAGUGAGUUGAUGACUGUUAAAUGCAACAAUAUAAAUGGCCUUGUAUUUUGUAUAUCUUUCCUUUUUUGUUUUAUUUUUCUAGCUGAUCUUUUUUACUCUAUUUUGCAAAAGUUAGCA
This 8389-nucleotide long non-coding RNA is filed under the name Homo sapiens (human). RNAcentral's name for it is "non-protein coding LINC00313:30". Lineage: Eukaryota; Metazoa; Chordata; Mammalia; Primates; Hominidae. The record is from RNAcentral.